CAUGCAGCAUAGAGAAGACCAGCAAGGGUGCCCUCACCAGCAUCAUGCAGACAUGGCCUUUUUUAUGAGCAUUCCUAUGAACGGAACAGUCAGCCACAUGUUGGCAUGUAUCCAGCCAGCAACCUUCACCUGUCAGCGGCAACAGCUUUCACAGGCUCAUCAUUUGUACAAAUACAGAAGUAACUUUGAUGAGGGGCCAGGAACUGCUCUACGCUGCUCAUUAAUGGGGCUCUGGCAAAGACCUCACCUCCAGCCUCACCUCUUGCCUGCUCACCAACGGUCGUCAAUGGGGAGAAUAGAAUUAAAAUCAUGUAUGGAGCCAGCACAUGGAGACCUGUAAGAUGAUGUGAUGAUGUCCAGAAUGACACACGG
Long non-coding RNA from Coregonus clupeaformis (lake whitefish), 372 nucleotides. RefSeq lists it as uncharacterized. The transcript has 3 exons. Lineage: Eukaryota; Metazoa; Chordata; Actinopteri; Salmoniformes; Salmonidae. The record is from RefSeq and is a predicted model, not a curated record.